UGGGGAAUAUUGCACAAUGGACGGAAGUCUGAUGCAGCAACGCCGCGUGCGGGAUGACGGCCUUCGGGUUGUAAACCGCUUUUUCUCAUGACGAAGUUUUUUGACGGUAGUGGGGGAAGAAGCACCGGCUAACUACGUGCCAGCAGCCGCGGUGAUACGUAGGGUGCGAGCGUUGUCCGGAAUUAUUGGGCGUAAAGAGCUUGUAGGCGGUUUGUCGCGUCGAUAGUGCAAACUCAGUGCUUAACGCUGAGCCUGCUGUUGAUACGGGCAGACUAGAGGAAGGUAGGGGAGAAUGGAAUUCCCGGUGGAGCGGUGGAAUGCGCAGAUAUCGGGAGGAACACCAGUGGCGAAGGCGGUUCUCUGGGCCUUUCCUGACGCUGAGAAGCGAAAGCGUGGGGAGCGAACAGG
Molecule: ribosomal RNA, 408 nt
Filed under: Fusobacteriota bacterium
Lineage: Bacteria; Fusobacteriati; Fusobacteriota
Description: Fusobacteria bacterium partial 16S ribosomal RNA
Rfam family: Bacterial small subunit ribosomal RNA
Source: RNAcentral